Molecule: ribosomal RNA, 253 nt
Filed under: uncultured bacterium
Lineage: Bacteria
Description: partial 16S ribosomal RNA
Rfam family: Bacterial small subunit ribosomal RNA
Source: RNAcentral
UACAGAGGGUGCAAGCGUUGUUCGGAAUUAUUGGGCGUAAAGGGAGUGUAGGCGGUUUCUUAAGUCUUCUGUGAAAUCUACGGGCUUAGCCUGUAACGUGCAGAGGAAACUGGGAGACUUGAGUGUCGGAGAGGAUAGGGGAAUACCCAGUGUAGAGGUGAAAUUCGUAGAGAUUGGGUGGAACACCAGUGGCGAAGGCGCCUGUCUGGCUGACAACUGACGCUGAGACUCGAAAGCAUGGGGAGCAAACAGG